This 14929-nucleotide long non-coding RNA is filed under the name Gallus gallus (chicken). The record is from RNAcentral. Lineage: Eukaryota; Metazoa; Chordata; Aves; Galliformes; Phasianidae.
AGACAAUCCCUGCACACAGAUGGGGAGAACAUAUUCUAGCAGAUCAUCUGGAGCUUAAAAGCAAACCAAUAAUUGUAACAUAUGGGUGAAAGCUUUUUUGAGCCAGUGUGCAGCAAGUAGAAAACUGUAGACUGCUAAUAUCUCCAGUGAAUUUGAUCUCAAGAGCUGAUGGCCAACAUAUGUAUCAUCUAGCAACAAAAGGCUGACAACUGCCACUGACUUCCCUCUAUCUGAAGAAUCUUUGUAGAGAUGCUGGUGUGCUGGCUUCAGGUUGUCACCCCAUGUAUGGGCAGACUUCACUGCAUCUUCCUACAGUCAACACAGUGCAAGGGGAGGGGUAAUGAGAAGAUGGAGAGGAUCUGAGCCUCCUGCAAGCCCAGCCCUGGAACCUUGAUACAGUAGAACACCUCUCAUGGCUGCUCCUGCCCCAUGCUCCAGUGGAAGCAUCCCUCUGCAAACCCUCAUACAUCCCACCCAAGGGAAAAACAAUCAUCUCUCCAGACUUAAGAGAGACUCCUUGGAUGAAGUCAAGUUGGCACCAUUCUCUGCAAAGAUUUGAUACUGCAGUAUCUGCUUUGAGAAAAGGGAUGUAUUAGGCAUAUUCAAUAUGCUGGAAAUCACCUGGCAGACACCACUAAUUUCUGCAGUUGUUGACUGACAGGAACUGGUCUGUCACCAUCAUCCAUUUCUUAUUUCUUUGAUCAUUCUGUGUACAUGUUGCUUGUGCUGCAGCAGAAAUGCUGUUUCCUUCUGUGUCAUGUGCUGAUCACUUGGAUCACGAUGCUCCCCUCAUGUGUACUGCUGUGGUGCAUUACUGGCAUUGUACUGGUGUUGAUGAGAUUUAAAGAUGCUUCUUGCCUGCCUCUCUCAUACACUUAAUUGACCUGUCAGCUCUGGCUGCAUGCACAGCAGCUACUUGCAGAGUGAUUUGCAGGAGAUAUUGCUUCUGAAGUUGCUGACUGAGCCUGGGUGGAAUAGAAUGCCAGAAAAAUACGCAUUUGGGCUCAUGGGUGUUAAUAAAGGUAGCUUAAAUACUAUUACAAAACAACCCUCCCUUCCAAAACAAAAACAGCAAGUGAAAAAAGAAACCAGCAAACAAAACACAAAAAGAACACCAACCAAAACGCCUAAUAAAACAGGGGACUGGCAUACUGGUGCACCAUCCUAACAUCUCUUUGGAGCUACCUCAGUUCUCCUGGCCAGCACACUGAAUCACUGUUCUGAGGCUUUAAAAAACAGAAAAUCAAACCCAUCUCCUGUUUUACAUGACUUUGCUCUUUUUCUGGUAGAAAAAAAAUAUUCAUUCGAAAAAAACAUUUCCAAACAUCACGUAACAUGUUAGUUACAUGAAUCUUCUUACAGUAACAGAAUUUGGAACAAUAUAUUCUUGCAAAAGCAUAGAUUUUUUGGUUCUUCUAUACCAAAAAUAGAAGCAGCCAAAACAUAUAUUGACCUCAGUACUGAGAUUCCAAAUGCUUUUUCACUAAGCAGAAGAAUUUCAAUCUUUGAAGUCAGAUUAUGAAAAAUACUUGACAGUUUCAAGCUAGGAGCCUGAUCUUCCCUUCUGGUGUGGUCUGUGGAAAGAGGGACAGUCCUGGCACAUCUGUUGGGAAAAUUGUGGGUCUAGGCCACUCUUCCAGUGUUCUUGUUAAAAUAAAAUUGGCUAUGUUCAUAAAGGCUGCAAAGAAAUGUAGAAAAAAUAUUUCCAUGGCCAAACGCUUCCUUUUCAAAUAAAAUAUGGAUUAUGAAAUCUGAAAAAAAAAUCUGUUUUCUUUACCAGUAAACCCCCUCAGGAAGCAUUCUGGGCAUGGGGCCCAAUAAAAGUUAGCUCUGAAUGAACAAGACUGACAGUGGAAACAAGAUGAUUAGUUUGGCAUCUGGCUUUUCAAAAAAAUUAGUUAUUGAAGGUAAUUUGAGAAUACAUAAUGGAAAUACAGCUGUAUUUGUCAUGCUUUAUAAUAGUGGUUUGAACUUUGUCAUUGCAAAUGGUAAAAAUCUGAGCUAGGCUCUCAAAGUUAAAGUGUGUCUUCACUAGGUGAUUCUUUAUGGUAAGGAUGACAGUGGAUUAGAAGUUGAGGCUGGUACUAUAAAUGAAUUUACUUAGUGAUAUGUUGUGGAGUACCUUGAGUGUUCUUAUUAUAUUUGGGUAGAUGAACUACACAGAACAGUAUGCUCAUGUUUGUGUUUUGCAGUCAAUGAAUAGUGAGGAGAGUUAGAGUGCAGAGUUCUUGUGUGGUUCCUUCCUGCCAUGUUUGUUGCAUAGAUGGCAGUGGUUGCAGAAGGAUAAAAGCAUGCACUGAGUGCAUGAAGAGAUGGGGAGGCAGCAGUAGACUUUUGGGGAGCUAGGUAGAAAUUUUGUACCUGUUGCCACUGGACACUACAGACCUUUCCAAACAAAUCACCACACACUCUAGUUGUGAAACCAGGCAGGUUUGCAGAGGCCAUGGGUUCACUGAACUGUUGAUCACACAUCAUACUUGCCUGUGAUGGCAAUAAUGUAUUUAUGAAGGCUGUCUUUUCAAUGGUGUGCUGUAUGGCAAGAAGACCUCUUUUAGGUGCACAGGCACAAAGAAGUAGAGGUAUCUGAGAAGUGGCUAUAAAAACACUGAUGACUUCAUCAUUCAUUUUGUUCCCUUAUUCUUUUAGACCAUAAUGAGGGUUUAUGUCUAACUUGUACAAACAGCAGAACGCUAAAUGUAAUUCUUUUUUUUUUUUUUUUUUUUUUUUUUUUUUUAGCUUGAAUUACUCUAUUAAGAAGUGUGAGAGCAGGGGGGAAUCUAUUGUGUUCCUGAUUAUAUGAUAGAAAUGUCUUUCUCCAAAUCACAUUAUAUUGUCUCAUACGUGGAGAGCAGGAAAGUGCAGAGUUGAACUUUGACAAAAGAUUCUCCACAGUUACUAUAAAUUUUAGGCUUGUUGACAAAGCUAACUAAAAGGAUAUAUAUUCUAGCAAAUACAUAGUUUAAAAAGUGAAGUGUUCACAUAACUGCUUGCAGGUUGUGAUGAGCGGAGACCAGGUGGACACACCUUGAGCUGGCUUGGUGUGUCUGUACCCCAGCUUCAAACUGAGCGCACAAAAGCAUCACCAGGGCUUUUUAUAACCUUACUGAAACAAUGGUGAAAUAGGUAAAACUUUUUAAAUCUUGCUUGGACAAAUUCACUUAAUGCCUUAAAAAUAUACUUGCCUGUGCUCUGUGCUCCCUGCAGAAUGUCUCCUUUUCUCCAGGUUUGUUUUAGGUCAAACAGCUCUCAAGGACUUUCUGGUUUGAAACAAAUUCCACAGUCUCUCCUGCAUCCCAGGAGAGUCCUUCUGUCCUUUCUUCUUUGAAGUCUGGCCAUUUGUGCCUGCUUUAAAUUCUCCUAGGGUGCACAGCUUAUUAAGAAGGCUGAGCCAAUCUGACAAAUGCCCCUCUUUGUCCUCCCAGUUUCCCUGUUCUGGCACUUACCACAGCCCAGGGUAAAUUGAUCCAAUGAGAUAAAACAGCAGAAAAUUGACCCAACAGCAGGAAAAGCAUUUUUUUCCAGCAAGUUUAGCUUGCUGAUCAAAGCCCACUGAAGGUCAGGCAGAUGCCAAUGCCAUCUGAAAAGAUAUCUGGAGCACUUGUGGAGGAGGAAUGCCUGUCCUCCAGGAUUUCUCCAGCUGGAGGCUGGCUAGCCACUGCCUGUCCUUCCCUAUACAUCAGAGCAUCCCUCACACUGCAGAUGGGAUCCUGAGGUGCUCAGCUUUGACCCCAGCCCUACAGCCAGAUGUGCCAAAAUAGCAGCUAUCCUCCUGGUUCCUGAGCACAAAUAAAACAGGUUUGCCAUCCAUCAGGGGAGCAUCUCCACUGUGCUAUAACCUCUCCCAUGCAUUAGCACCAUGCACUGCAGGCAGCAAACAGCAUGAUAGCACUGUGUUUAUGGGAGCGCUACGUUAGGAGUCGUAACAACAAAAUGCAAUCUGCAGUCUGCUCUAGCUGUGGUGUGUGCAUUCCCUAUGUCAUUUCUUCCCUAUCUUUGUUUUUGAAUGCUUAACCACAAUCCUCAGCGAUUAAUGAAAAAUUCUGCUAAAAUAGGGGAAAAAGCUGCUUCAUGUAAAAUUCUUCUUUCAGUGAAUUACUAUUAUGUUGCAGACGGCAGUAAUAGCAAGUAAACGAUUCCGUAUUAUUGUAAUGCUGAUGAUUACUACUCAUUUCUGCUCACCAAAACAAAGGAAAUAAAAAAAUUGCCUUCUGUCUUCAAUCCCUCCUCAGAUCAAAUCCCCUGGGCUUCGCUCCCGACCUGCACCUGCCUUACAUCAGUGCAGGCCAUUGAUUUCACUGAGGCAAUACUCCAUUUGCACCAGUGCCCAGGACUGAAGAAUCAGGUUCUGGCUUUUUAUAAGGUUCGGCAUACUGUCUUGAAACCAGACAAAAUUAGCCAGAAUUUGUGAAUUGGUUAUUCUUUGCCUGCUGAAACGAGGCAACGUCUGUAUGCACUGCUUUGAGAAUCUGUUCUUUUUGUUUUGGAACAGAUGUCUGGGAGGGAUUUUGGCAGGGCCCACUCUGUCAAACAGUCCGGCUUUGACAGUUACUUGCUUGAGGGAUGGCUGAAAUGCAAAGCAUUUCUGAUCAGAAUAUCAUAUUCAUCUGGAAGUUAAUUACUGUGUCUGCCUUGGUAUAAAUAAUUAAUUAUGCAAAACCCACACAGCUGUGGCUGGACAGAGUUAAGUGACUUGCUGUCAAUGUCUCAUGGUUCUAGAGAGGAUGAAGGGAUUUAGAAAAUAAGCUCUUUAACUCUUGGGCCACACUGUUGAGGUAGCCCUUCGCAGCCAGAUGAGAAUAUGAUUACCACUGUGCAUGCUUUUUCACAAAAGGACAUUUCCUAAUUUAGCUUGGUCGGGCCCCCAGUAGUAAUCUCUUCUCAGUGUUGUUGCUGUGUCAAGAUAAGAACACAAACACAUCAGAUUGUUUUAGGGAAAUGCAUUUGCAAAGCCACUUUGGCUGCACAGUCACGUUCAGAGCAAUCAUCAACCAAAACAAUGUCUGCAUUUGAGUGUGUGCAUGCAUGAGAGUGAGCAAAGAGUGAAGCCACAUGGGUGUAAUUAUCAACCUGUCUCAUUUUAUUGCCAACAGAGGUAAGAAAAGGGACAAAUUUACAGGAAUUUUGAAUAUUAUUGACAGCAGUAGUCCAUAUUCUGAUCUGAUAAACAAUGGACUGGCUCAUGGGUUCAGUCAUUGUCAAAUAGAGAGCAUGUCAGGAAAGCGAGCGUAGGGAGAUGCGACUUGCUAUAUGUCCCUUUAUGGGGUUGUCUCCAGUAGACCAUGGAUUUUAAAAGUACAACUAGAAGCACCAUCCAGGCUCAUCUGUGAUAAGUAGUUUCCUGCACGUAACUGUAGUUUUCCAAAAUAUUUUUGCCUGUAGCAUUAGAUAAAAAGAAAAGCUUAUUAAAUUUGUCUAAUAUCUUGUUGUAGGCAAACACUGCUGAGCUUACUGCAGUGAAAUAAACUGCUGCAACCCAGAGGACAUUGUUUUUACUUACAGAUGAUCAAGUGACAUUAUAAUUCAUCAGGAUGAGUAUAGAUCUCAUCACAUAUCCAUCGUUUCUGUUAAGUAAUGCAAAGCUCUGUAAACAUCUAUCUACCCAAAUGAGCAGGGAGAAAAAGUGUGUGAAAGCAUUAAUACAGAAAAUACUUAUCUGUAAUCCUUCCUGGCCUUUGACUGUCAAUCACCCGCGCUGAACUUUGGUCUCCUUAUUUUCUAACUGUAUUAUAAAAAUGAAUUGAAUUUUCUAUAGAAUCUUUCAUAUUCCAAAGUGGUGAAUACAGGAGUUGAGAGUGUAAGCAAAUGCGGAAGCAAUUACAUACUUAGCUCUAAUUCACAUCUAACCUUGAACACUGUAACAUGUGCAAAGUAAUGGAUAGUAGAAAAAUGUCUUAUGCUUUUAACUAUAAGUGUUCCAGACCUUCUACCUACCACUUGCCAGGGCACUGGUGACAGACAGGACAGGAUAUUUGUAAAAAAAUUACUUUUUUUUACAGUAUAAGUCAUAAAUAUUCAAACCACAGUGUAGUGUGCACAAGGAUAAUAUCAAAUGAGUGGCAGUAAUAUUUGGGCUGUUCUUCCAGCAAGAAGCCAGGCUCCUACUGAAAAUCCACACGCUGACUUGUGAUCAGUCCCCUUACCUCGUUAUUGUUAACAUGCACCCUGGCACAGCCUUGGCCCUGACAAAUUAUGCUCUUCCAGUUCAGUCAAUUACACUGAGCAAAAACCUUUCAUAACAGGGAGUGUUCAUGAGGUCACCUGCAUUUUUAGAAGACAACUGUCUAGUUGUGUAGUAUUUAUUUUCAGGGCAGAGGAUGGGCCAGGCUUGGGAGCCACCAGUGGAAGUUCAGCCACUCUAUCUUUUAACCCAAAUGCUUGCAUGUACAUUGUCUUCAGCUUAAAAACUCAAAUAUAAGCAUUAUCAAAAACUAUGAUAGAGCUCAGCAGAGACAUGUCACUUCUGCCAAAGGUUGCAAGCCUGAGGAAAAAGAGUUAGCAUUACUUCUGUGUUGCCAAAAGCAGUACUUGAAAAACACACACUAUUUUACAUUGAAGAGCUCCCCUUCUGAGCAAACUUGAUGUGUCUGCUUGCUGUCAUUUCUGACAAUGGCAACACCUCAUGUCCCUGGAAGUAUUGUUCAGCAGUCAUCUCCUAAUUUAUUUUAAACAUCACUGGAAAUUACUAGUAAGGGGACAGGAAUACAAGAAGAAAAAGAAGUUUUAGGAUCCUAAAAUAUAGUCUCGUAAAGUUUCUUCUGUUUUCCAAAUUCCUGGGGGAGAAGAAAAGGAAAAAAAAAAAAAAGGGGGGGGGGGGGGGGUGGACUGGAGGGAAUCCUUUAAUUAUCUGCCAAAAUAUGGCAAGAAACCUUGUUGGUCUCAGUUUGGCACUGCUAACAAAGGAUCUCAGCGCAAGGUUAUCUUAGAAAGCAAUUUUUACCCACAGAUAUAUUGAAUUCUAGUAUCCUCACUGUUACUGGCACGUCUGAGAUUCUUAUCCUUUAGGCAGAUUCUGAAGUUUUGUCACCCUGUACUGUGGUACAUUACCAGGAUAUCCAACUUUGCUGGCACCACACAGCCCACUCAUCCUUCUCCCUCUCCCCCAUGCAGUCUGUUCACAUCUUUCUUAGUCUGUGUGCUUAUGCUCAUUUAUCUUCCUUCAUCCAUCUGUAGUCAGAGUUCUCCCACCAUUCCUACGUCUUGGGGCAGCUCCUUAGCACAGUUUCUGUGUUCUGUAGUGUUCAUCCUACUCCCCAGCUCGGCAAUUCCUCUUUGGCAGGCCAGUCUUGCACACAUAACAUCACCCAUCACCCAUGUGCACUCUGCAAUGUUAGACCUUCCUCACUAUUUAAAUCACAGCAUCCUGACGUCUUCCUAAAUGGGUCAGCACUUGACCCCUGCUCCCAGAUCUCAUCCAGCUAUAUUUGUAACAAAGACUACAUAUUAUAAAGAUAGAUAUAAAGAUUGAGAGGAUUGUGGCUGUAGGUGCUGCUGUGGGCUUUAUUUGUUCUCAUAUGAAAUUGUUUGAAAAAAGCAUAAAUAUUUUCAUAUUCAAUAUAUCUAUCUAUAAAUGCAUAUAUGUAAGUAGGUAGAUGUCUAUACACACAUAUCAAAUAUAUAUACAUAGAUUUAUAUGUAGGUUUUCGGGGCAUUUAUGUAGUCUACAACAGGUCUUUUCUGUUUUAGUUAUUUAAAGAAUGUUAACAAAAAUACAUUGAGGAACUAGACUAUUGAGAGGCUUAUGUUUCUGAUGAGCUGGCAUUUCUGCAGUUUUCAGCUUCUGCACUUAAAUCUUCCCCACCUCACAAAGUAGAUAUCUUAGGUGUUCUGUGGAACUGAGCUUUAAUUUCAAGUUUUCCAUUUAGACAUGAUUUAAAUAAUGAGGUCGUGAGGCCAAACUGAUUCUUGUAACUAUCUGAAAUGCAGUGGAAACAAAGCCAUGUAAACACUUAGAUAAAUAAAAAUGAACAGUAGAUAGGUAAUACAGUUUUUAUAUCUUCUCUAAUUUGGGGUAUGAUUUUAGCAGUUUAUUAAGAAUAAUUUAUUCAUUUCUCAAGCCACAUCCCAUUUGAAUCCUUCCUUUCUGCUGUGCAUCUUUGUGUAAGUCAAAGUGUGUUAUCAGUGUCUAGGGACAAAGCUCACAUAGGCAUCUGGACAAGGCUCACAGGGCAUAACUGAAAGCUUUAUUGAGGCAACAGGCAUGUCUUACUUCUCCGGGGGGUCUCCACUUGCUGAUGAAACUGCAUGAAAACACUGAUAGUUUCCUACAGGACUUGGGUUGAGAAUGGAUUCUCUCAAUGCAUUUUAAAUGCAUAUAUGUUUCCUAGGAUACUCUUGUGUCCUUUGGGAUAAGAAAGGGUAACAAUUUCUCCAUUAUGUUCAUGUUCUUCCCUCAGGCCUUAGCUGGUGGAGAAUUUUACCUCACCUACCUCUGACUCUAAGUGAGGUGUUCUUAAAUUUACAGCCAUUCUCUGUCAUAGUUCAAUAAAUCAGCAGGGUCACUGGAAUUGUAUUUGUUAUGCGUGCAGGCAGAUGUACACUAGAGACAAGUAUAUUCCUUAAAAUGGCGUGAGGGAUUAAUCUGCCUCAGUCUCCUCAAAAAUGAUCCCUUGGGGAUCCUUUUGGCCUAGCCACCUUACCCUCACACAGUACCUAAUGCUCACAUGUAGCACUGCAAAGUCUUACCAAGAACUACCUAUUUCAGUGAUAUUACCAGGAGCUUCUGAUAAAGUGACUUCAGCAUGUAAUACAUUAUUAACAGGAAAGAAACAUUGUGCCUUCCCAUUAUAAACCUCUGCUCCCAGCUCCCAGCAGGAGCAAAGCAGGUCACUAAGCGACUAUUAACCAAUAGCUGACAGCUAAUUGAUUUUACACGUGUGUAUCAGUGCUUGCAAACCAUAAUUUAAAAGCUAAUUUGCUUUGUACUUUUAAUAUCAUGGCAGUCUUGUAUCCUAUCUUACAAAGUGUGAGCUCAUCACAGUCCAUCAUUUUUACUGCUGCUGGCCCCAAAACUGGUCUUUUGCAAAUUUGUACCCUAUAACACUCUUAUCUCAUAACCCAAAUGCAAGAAAGAGCCCUCCAGCACCAGUUGUCCCAUGGAGACAUCAAUGGAGAGUUUUCAAAACUGAAGCCACUUUAGGGUAGUUUUAAUGAGGUAGCAUUUGCUAAAGCAUGACUGACAGAAAUAAUAAGUUAGCACUUACAAGGGAACCCUCAGAAAUUGAACUACAGCAGGCAAAGUGCCAGCAGAAAUUGUUGUGCUGUUGAAAAAUCUCCUAAAAUAUCUCUCCUAGCUCUGUCUAAUGCAAUUAAAGUUACUGAUGUACAUAAUAGGAAAACUGGGAGCUCUUCCUGUUAAUAACCACUAUGUAACUGAGGUAAUCCAUUUCAUUAAUUUAAUAUACACUUUCAUAUCCCCUGAUAAUAGAUGUAUAAUUAAAGUGAUAGGAUUUGCAUUCCAAAAUGAAAGUUUGCGAAGAAUAGUUCUAUAAAAACAAGACAAUUUGCUAAAUUAUUUCUCUCUUUUUUUUUUAUUUUGGUUUACACUUUAAUUUUAAUAAAACAAUAGUAGUGAAAUUCAGAACAAAUUGAUAUUUGUGUUGAUAAAUUUUAUCAGUAAAUAAGUGCAGUGUCUGAUGCACAGACUCAGAUGUGAACGAUCCAAAUCUCUUAUUACAAGUUCUCACAUCACUUACAUACCUUCACAAGUUUUCUUUUUCUAGCUUUCCCAUCCGCCCUUACAACUUUCCCAUCCACCUUUACAUGUCAACAGAGCAUUCUACAAACACUCUUCAAUUGUUCAUGCGGGCGCUUAUCCAAUCAGAGCCAUGAGCCGUUCUUUCUUCUUCUAGAGGUGUCCUUGGUUAUCAUGCUGUUUAUCUUGCUCCACAGCUGCUGCUCUGAACAGUUUUUCUUGCAUUUCCACAAAUAAGCACGUUGUCCAUUUUCAAGGAAAGAGCAACUGAUUGUGGGAGGAGUCACUGCUGUUGAUAAAGAUGCACACUGUGGGUGGAAAAGGUCCAUAUUUGAUGUGUUAUUUAAUACUAUGUGGAAGUGAAUAUCCUAAUAAGAUUGAAACACAUUUGUUUCAGAAUUAUAACAUUGUGACAAGAUCUCUAAGCUCUUGACUAGAACAUAAAAUAAUAUGAAAGCCAAGAAGGCAGAUUUUAGGUAGAGAUAUGAAAAAUAUCUAAAGGAACACUGAAGCUGAAGAAAUGAUGCAUAAGAUUUCAGGGGGUUAGAAGCUGACGGGAAAAUUAAAAGAUUGAGUGAGAGUAUGGUUAAGUUUUGGGAAAAGAGGAAAGCUACAACAGUGGCUAUUUAUACAAAUAUAUUUUUGUGUAUGUUCAUAUGUAAUUUACAGGGAGAUAUAAGACUUGCAAAAUUGCAUGGAAAAGGCAAAGAAAAAUAUGAACAUGCUGACAGAUGAAUACAACCACAAUAAGUCAAAUGUGUAAUUGUCAUGAAAAUAAAAGGGAAAAAAUGACUUUUAACAAAGCUAAAUAUUCGUGUAACCAAAUGAGUUAAAUAAUUACUUACUAGAAAAGAAGUAGAUCUACCAUCAAUUCAGAAGCUGUGGUAAUGUUGGACUGUAUAGAUUUUAUCUUGUGAUGAUAUGACACGUUAAUAUAAAGUGUAACAAGAUCUUAUGUUGCUCAUGAAGUAAUAUUCCCUUCUAAAGACAAGUGUACCUGAAAAGCUAAGCUCUUUCCUUCACCAUUUUUGCAAAUGAAUGGAAACUCUUAAUAUAUAUAUACAUAAUACAUACAUACAUACAAAUGGAGUUUUGAAAACUGUAUUGUGAAAUAAAAAUACAUUUCAUUCUUUGUGGUUGUACACUAGGAAUGAGUCUUAUCAGCAACUUCUGAAUAUCUCUGUGGAAAGACCAUUGGGAAAUACAGGCAUUAGUGAAAAUAUUAAGGUGUGUAAAAUGUUAAAACGUAAACUGAUAUGAAUUUUCUAGUAGUACCAAUCAUUUAAAGAUCCAGAAGCAUGAAAAUCCCUCAGUGUUUAUGGCCUUCUUUUCUGUGUUCAGUGUACUGGCAAAGAAACCUCUACAACUUGAGGCCAGCUCUGUUUACUCAGUGCUUACAUCCAUCACCUCACCUGAGGGCUACAUUUGAUGCUUUUUGACUCCUUCUUCCUCCUUUGGAGAAUCAUAGAAUGGCCUGGGAUGAAAAGGACCACAGUGAUCAUCUAGUUUCAACCCCCUUGCUAUGUGCAGUGUCGCCAACCAUCAGAUCAGGCUGCCCAGAGCCACAUCCAGCCUGGCCUUGGAUACCUCCAGGCAUGGGGCAUCACAAUCUCCUUGAGCAACCCGUUCCAGUGUGUCACCACCCUCUGAGUGAAAAAUUUCCUCCUAAUAUCUAACCCAAACCUCCCCGAAGAGGGAAAGUGAAUGAAAAUUUGAUAUCACAUUUUUUACUUCUUUAAAAAAAGAAAAGGAAAAAAAAAAAAAAGGUAGUUAUGAAUGCUUUGUUAGUGGUUGUCUGUGCACCAACAGUGAUGCCCCAAGGAAAGGGAAGCUGCAGCAUGGCUGGUGUUGGCAGGCAUAGGGAAGCACCCUAUGGGAGAGCAAUUUUACUCAAUCUCCCAAUUUCUCAUUUCUAGUGUUUUAACCUCUUCAAAAUCUAGAUUCAGUUUGGUUUCUUAGGAAAACUUGUUACCUUUGCCAAUAAGCGCACAACAGAGUAAAAAAUCUAUGAGGUGGGAACUAGAUCUGUAUUCAGUCAACUCAUUAUCAAAGAUCAUUGUUAAACUAAUACAUGAAUCAUUAAAAAUAUAUUGGAUGUAAAGAGCUUAUAAUCUAUAUUCAGUUGGCUAAUAUAUACUCUAAGCCAUUUGUUCCCUCAAUGACUGCUACUAAUUGUCUGUACAAUUGUUACUUACACGGCCACAAAUUUGACAUAAUAAAUACAGAUGUGUAAAGUACAGAAAGGCAAAAGUGUAGAAAUGAGAAGUCAAGGCACUAGAUACGAAUAUACAUUACCUGUCUCUUAGAGAAGCAAGAAGUCCUCCUGGUUCCCAGGGCUGCUCUCAAGAUGGCAAAUUUUUCAUUGAACUGAACUUCUAGGAGAAACUGACAUUGUUCCAGGUUCCUUUCUCUAUUAAAAAAAAAUAAUAAUAAAAGAAAAAAUAAAAAAAAGAAAAAAUUUGCAAAAUCUGAAAAAGCAAAGCAGGAAAAUUUUAUAUUUGGUAAAAAAAGAAACAACAGGAAUGGCCCCAAGCACCCAGAGUUUGACCUACUUAUUUAAAUACAGGCUGUAUGAUAUAUUUUAUAUGGGUAAAAAAGAUCAUUGUGUUAUUCCAUGCAGCUGGCCGUCUUCCACUUCCGCUGGCAGAGAGCAGUCCCAACUUGCCCAUGUGUAGAUCUCUUUGCAACUCCUGAACAGUGUUGUUACUGUGAACCCAAAUUAUUUUGUUUCACUUGAAUGAAAAUAAUUCACUUCCGCAAGAUUUUUCUAUUAUGGUUGCUGUAAAGGACACGUGCUGUUUGACUGUCAGGUGUUGUUUUUCCACACAGUGGUGCUUUCUGUGUAGCAUGAAACAGAUGCAGUCUUCAGGGUGGACAAGCUGACAGUAUACAUGGGAACUUACUCAUGUGGUAGGGAAAAGUACAAAGAGCUGUAUUUUGCAUGUCCAAGUAAGGAAUCAAUAAAAUGACUGCUUGAGUGCUCUGCAGUUUCAACAGAUGGAGAUAAAGAUGAGAAAAAGUUUCUGAAAACUGUAUUUUAGUUAUUUUGGCAAAGAUAAAGCUUGAUUUUCCAACCUUCUAUUGCUCAGAUGUGAACUUUCCCUAUAGUGAUGCAAGAUACAUCAAUCAGCUGGACCUAGGAUAUUGCUAGAUUUAACAGUAUUAAAAGAAAUAUUGCUGUUGUAACUCUAAGAGCUGUCGUAGGUUAAGAUCUGGCUUUUAACUGCCAGUUGCUCUGUGCACAGGAACAAUAUUUUGGGUCAGACCUUGAAGUGGUCAGUGAUAAACACCAGAGGAAUCUUGAGGCUCCAAAAUAUAGAACAAUUCUCACUUAGCUUUUCCUCCUUCCUCCUGAAUAACUACAGAAUGACUCAAGCUCUGAAUCAGGAAAUUUUUUCUUUUGAAGAACGUAUAUACAAAACUUAUAUUUCAUUUCUCAUUUGUCCUAGUUUCUUUAUUUCAAUAAUUUCCUUUUACUGUGAGUUCUAUUGCUUAAUUACCUGAUGAUAAUUAGACAUGAUUUCUGAGAUAUGAAUAUAUGGGAAAGCAAUAAAAAGUACACACAAGUAGAUCUAGAAAAAAUAAAUAAAUAAAUGCCAGAAAUUCCUUUCAAUUUAUCAAAGAGAGACUAAUAGACAAGGCCUGAUUCAUUGCAUUUAUUAUCUCACUAUGAAAAAUAAAUCCCAGUCCCAAGCAAUGAUGAGUUCUCUUAUUUUUAAGUCUGUCUGAAAUGACUUUAGGUAUUCCACAUCACAAAUAUUCCAUACAUGGAAAACAUGGUUAUCUGAUCAGCUGAGUUGUUGUGCUAGAGCCAAACAUGAAUUAGAGCCUCUGCAAAGGUAGCUCAGAAGCAAGUUCAGUCACUGCUAGAAGAUUAACCUGAAGCAGCCUAGUCUAGUGGGAAGUGUCCCUUUCUAUGACAGAGGGGGUUAGAACUAAAUAAUCUUAAAUUUCCCUUCCAACCCAAAUCAUUCAAUAAGUUUAUGAUUCUGUGAUCAAGGCUUUCUUCUCAGAAAAGCUUGUGAGUAAGUAGGGACAAGGCCAUCAACACCAAAAAUAGGACGAUACUGGCUAACAAAAGAAUUACACAGAAUUUCUUUGGAGGUAGGCAGAUCUACUUGACCUAUUUGAGCAAUACAUGACCAAGUCUAAUUGGCAAUAUCUGUCUCUUUAUUUCAGUAAAAUCACGGAAAAUGUUACAAAAAACAGUCAGCUUCUGAACUAUCAUCACGAAGUCUCAUAGAAUAGAAACAGCAAGUCCAUUCCUACAACAUUCUCUGUUAGCUACUGCUCUGCUUAAUUAAGCAAGAUUCUCUCACUACCUAAUUAGACAGUCUGGAAGUGGUUCAGAACCUCCUUUCCCUACCUCAUGUCAAGUGACUACUCCUAACUCUGAUGGGGUUCUGCAAAUCAGAGCUUUGAGAUGGAUUUGUCCUUUUUUGCUUGAAGUCCACACAGAAGGGACUUGAGUUUAUAUCUGAACAAAAACUAGGAUAAAAAGAGAAAACUCAAAGUGUGUCAGAAUAGCCAAGAACGAAUUUGUAAACUAAGCGUCUCUUCCCUCACUGUGUCCUUAGCAGAGUGGUGUAAGAACAAGCAGGUCCCUGUAGACAAGCCUGAAGAGUCUGACCCGUAGUCCUGCAACUUCCCUAUGAUUCUCUGAGUUUUAACAAAUCUGAGUGGUCCCUGCAGUCCUAAGAGGCUCCAUCUGCCAUCUUCUCUGGGGUCUUCAUGUAUGUCUGAACUCAUCUACCUCACCUCUGCCUAUCUGUCAGCUUCCUGAUUGCUGCCACCUCCCAUUCCAUUCCAUUUUACCCAGGAAAAUGCUCCCUGUUGUGCAUGUUGGGUGGUCCUCAGGGAAGGCACAAAGUACUCACUUUCAGGAUGGUUUCUCCUAUGUGUACAAAAGGAACAAGUGUAAUCACCACAGCCUUUACAGGAACACAGUAGGAGUAUGUACUGGACAGACCCGAUACUCUGCCACACAAAUGGGCUUUUUGUGACAAAAUGUCACUUUGCUGUCAUGCUCUAGUGAGCCACCUGGCAAGAGCAUGCAGCUUCAAUCAAUUUCUGAACAUUAGCACUACUUUAGUUACUGAGACAGAGGUAGACAGAGUGACCAUUGAUACAGAAGAGUGGAAGAACGGGAGAAUAAAUUAGUUAUAUGUCCUGGUGUCAGAGCUUGCUAUUGGGAUCUAUGGCAAGUACAUAAAAGGAGAAAGGAAAUGGGAGAACUAG